RNAcentral lists this ribosomal RNA (482 nucleotides) under uncultured bacterium. Its description in RNAcentral is "partial 16S ribosomal RNA". It matches the Rfam family "Bacterial small subunit ribosomal RNA", at positions 28 to 523 of the family's 1533-position model. The record is from RNAcentral.
GAUGAACGCUGGCGGCGUGCUUAACACAUGCAAGUCGAACGGUGAAGCCAAGCUUGCUUGGUGGAUCAGUGGCGAACGGGUGAGUAACACGUGAGCAACCUGCCCUGGACUCUGGGAGAAGCGCUGGAAACGGCGUCUAAUACUGGAUAUGAGACUUCAUCGCAUGGUGGGGGUGGGAAAGAGUUUUUGGUCUGGGAUGGGUUCGCGGCCUAUCAGCUUGUUGGUGAGGUAAUGGCUCCCCAAGGCGUCGACGGGUAGCCGGCCUGAGAGGGUGACCGGCCACACUGGGACUGAGACACGGCCCAGACUCCUACGGGAGGCAGCAGUGGGGAAUAUUGCACAAUGGGCGAAAGCCUGAUGCAGCAACGCCGCGUGAGGGAUGACGGCCUUCGGGUUGUAAACCUCUUUUAGCAGGGAAGAAGCGAAAGUGACGGUACCUGCAGAAAAAGCGCCGGCUAACUACGUGCCAGCAGCCGCGGUAA